UGCUCAGGUGGACUACGUGGAGCCCAGCCAGAACACCAUCUCCCUGAAGAUGAUCCCACGCAUCGACUACGAUCGCAUCAAGGCCCGCAUGAGCUUGAAAGACUGGUUUGCCAAAAGGAAGAAGUUUAAGCGGCCUCCACAGAGGCUGUUUGAUGCUGAGAAGAUCAGGUGCGUGUCCUUGGGGACUGGCUGGGCUGGGUCCCCAGGGCCGGUGUGCAGAAUGUGCCUUUUGCAGGUUCCUCCCCAGGGGUGGCCCUGCCACAGGUUUAGCCUGUGAAUUGGUUAGCUUGGCAGUAUAGCCUCAGGCAAGUCACUUCACAUCCCUGUGCCUCAGUUUCUUCUGCUAUAAAGAUUGAUGAGGCUGGGCGCAGUGGGAGGGAGCACUUUGGAAGGCUAAGGCAGGAGGCUUGCUUGAGGCCAGGAGUUCGAGACCAGCCUGGGCAACAUAAUGAGAUCCCAUCUUUUAAAAUAAUAGUAAAAAGAAAAAAGUUAAAAAGAAAUUUAAAAA
Molecule: small RNA, 508 nt
Filed under: Pongo abelii (Sumatran orangutan)
Lineage: Eukaryota; Metazoa; Chordata; Mammalia; Primates; Hominidae
Description: retained intron
Source: RNAcentral